This is a transfer RNA of 74 nucleotides. It matches the Rfam family "tRNA". From Rfam's summary of the family: Transfer RNA (tRNA) molecules are approximately 80 nucleotides in length. Their secondary structure includes four short double-helical elements and three loops (D, anti-codon, and T loops). Further hydrogen bonds mediate the characteristic L-shaped molecular structure. tRNAs have two regions of fundamental functional importance: the anti-codon, which is responsible for specific mRNA codon recognition, and the 3' end, to which the tRNAs corresponding amino acid is attached (by aminoacyl-tRNA synthetases). tRNAs cope with the degeneracy of the genetic code in two manners: having more than one tRNA (with a specific anti-codon) for a particular amino acid; and 'wobble' base-pairing, i.e. permitting non-standard base-pairing at the 3rd anti-codon position.
GGGCCUGUAGCUCAGUUGGCCAGAGCGCUUGCAUGGCAUGCAAGAGGUCAGGGGUUCAAGCCCCCUCAGGUCCA